RNAcentral lists this ribosomal RNA (786 nucleotides) under uncultured Neocallimastigales. RNAcentral describes it as "partial large subunit ribosomal RNA". It matches the Rfam family "Eukaryotic large subunit ribosomal RNA", at positions 24 to 643 of the family's 3401-position model. The record is from RNAcentral. Lineage: Eukaryota; Fungi; Neocallimastigomycota; Neocallimastigomycetes; Neocallimastigales.
UAUCUCUGUAGAGUCUGCAUAUCAAUAAGCGGAGGAAAAGAAACUAACAAGGAUUCCCCUAGUAACGGCGAGUGAAGCGGGAAGAGCUCAAAUUUGAAAUCUUCAGGGUUCUACCUUGACGAAUUGUAGUUUAAAGAAGUGUUUUUGGUUAGAGGAGUAGUAAAAGUUCUUUGGAAUAGGACAUCAUAGAGGGUGAGAAUCCCGUAUUUGACUAUUCUUUCUAGCUUUGUGAUACACUUUCAAAGAGUCGGAUUGUUUGGGAAUGCAGUCCAAAAUGGGUGGUAAAUUUCAUCUAAAGCUAAAUAUUGGCGAGAGACCGAUAGCGAACAAGUACCGUGAGGGAAAGAUGAAAAGAACUUUGAAAAGAGAGUUAAACAGUACGUGAAAUUGUCAAAAGGGGAAGCGUUUGACACCAGUGUUGUUUUUCCGAAAAUCAAUUAAAAAUAUGAUUCAUGUCCAGUUAGUAUUGACCUUAUCAGCUUGCAUGUUAGUUUUGGGUCAUCUUUUUGAUGCACUUUUCGGUUAACAAGUCAACAUCAAUUUCCUUUGCUGUAAAAAGGUAGAAGGAAGGUGGCUUCAGUUUCGGUUGAAGUGUUUAUAGCCUUUAUGCUCUGCAGGUCGGAGAGAUUGAGGUCUGCAGCGUAGAUCCUUCGGGGCUAGAUACAGUUUAGUGCUAAGUUUAUAGCUUUGUCAUAGACAACAUUGUUGACUAUGUUUAGUCAUGUAGCUUACUCGUAAGAUAGCUAUUUUACCUACGCUUAGGAUGUUGAGCGCAUGUCUCUCUCU